AAAUUCGAGAUCACGAACUUGGAUCACUUUAAAAUUCAAAGUGUUUUGCAAAACUUAAAGCCUUUUGUAUUUGAACCGCUUGAAGUUUCUCUUGCCUAAGCGAAAUGGAUAAGCGUCACAUUUUAAAAACAAGCCUUUUAUAAGGAGUUCUUUUAUAAGCAUGAUUUCUCAUCAUUAUAAAACUGCUACCAACACUUAAAUUCAAUGGACCGAUAAAUCGGCAAAUAAACAGAUAAAGGCAAAUGGAUAGGUAAAUUGGUGGGCCUGGGAGGACUUGAACCUCCGACCUCACGCUUAUCAAGCGCGCGCUCUAACCAACUGAGCUACAAGCCCUCCGAGAUAAACCGGAAAACCUUCCCCAGCAUUAUCUAAAAAAGCAUUAUCUAAAAAAUCUCUAUCUCAUAAAAGCACCCUUUCAAAAAACAAAGAGCUUUCCUUAAAGCUUUUGAUGAGAGCUUACUUGCAUAGACCGCCAGAAGGCUUGGGAUCAUCAUCUGAA
This 499-nucleotide unclassified non-coding RNA is filed under the name uncultured Bartonella sp. RNAcentral describes it as "partial 16S-23S ribosomal RNA intergenic spacer". The record is from RNAcentral. Lineage: Bacteria; Pseudomonadati; Pseudomonadota; Alphaproteobacteria; Hyphomicrobiales; Bartonellaceae.